GGCAGCCUGAUCAGCCAUGCCGCGUGAGUGAAGAAGGCCUUCGGGUUGUAAGCUCUUUCGGACGGAAAGAAAUCGCGCAGGCUAAUACCCUGCGCGGAUGACGGUACCGUCAUAAGAAGCACCGGCUAACUACGUGCCAGCAGCCGCGGUAAUACGUAGGGUGCGAGCGUUAAUCGGAAUUACUGGGCGUAAAGCGUGCGCAGGCGGUUGAUUAAGACAGGCGUGAAAUCCCCGGGCUUAACCUGGGAACUGCGCUUGUGACUGGUCAGCUAGAGUACGGCAGAGGGGGGUGGAAUUCCACGUGUAGCAGUGAAAUGCGUAGAGAUGUGGAGGAACACCGAUGGCGAAGGCAGCCCCCUGGGCCGAUACUGACGCUCAUGCACGAAAGCGUGGGUAGCAAACAGGAUUAGAUACCCUGGUAGUCCACGCCCUAAACGAUGUCAACUAGUUGUUGGGAGGGUAAAACCUUUUAGUAACGUAGCUAACGCGUGAAGUUGACCGCCUGGAGAGUACGGCCGCAAGGCUAAAACUCAAGGAAUGUGAC
RNAcentral lists this ribosomal RNA (544 nucleotides) under uncultured bacterium. RNAcentral's name for it is "bacterial SSU rRNA". It matches the Rfam family "Bacterial small subunit ribosomal RNA", at positions 377 to 914 of the family's 1533-position model. The record is from RNAcentral.